This 111-nucleotide ribosomal RNA is filed under the name human gut metagenome. The record is from RNAcentral.
GGUGCCGAUAACGCUGAGGAUCCACCCGUUCCCAUCCCGAACACGGAAGUUAAGCUCAGUUGUGCCGAAAAUACUAACUUGGAGACGAGUUGGGAAGAUAGGUAGGUGCCG